AUGGGAAGACAAAAGAUACACCUGAGGCAUGGGAGGACUAGCAACGUAUGCACGGAAAAGACGGCAUACAUCAGGGUCAUGGACUGGAACGCUCUUACCAAAGAAGAGAAGGAAAUCUUCUUUGAAUGCCUGCUCAGUAUUAAGGUACCAUCUGGCUUCUCGUCGAAUAUAAAGGAAAUAAUAAACAUGGCACAUAAAAAGUUCCAGAACCUAAAGUCUCAUGAUUGCCACAUGAUUAUGACGCAACUGCUUCCGGUUGCAUUGAGGGGGCUUCUACCGGAAAACGUUCGAUUAGCCAUUGUGAAGCUAUGUGCAUUUCUCAAUGCAAUCUCUCAGAAGGUAAUCGAUCCAGAAAUCAUACCAAGGUUAGAGAAUGAUUUGGUACAAUGUCUUGUCAGUUUCGAGUUGGUGUUCCCACCAUCCUUCUUCAACAUCAUGACACACGUCCUAGUUCACCUAUGUGAAGAGAUUAAUGUUUUGUGUCCUGUAUUUCUACACAAUAUGUUCCCCUUUAAGAGGUUCAUGGGAGUCUUAAAGAAAUAUAUUCAUAACCGUGCUAGGCCAGAAGGAAGCAUCUCCAAGGGCCAUGAAAAUGAGGAGGUCAUUGAGUUUUGUAUUGACUUUAUUCCUGACCUUAAGCCGAUUGGUGUUCCUGAAUCGCGGCAUAAGGGCAGACUGGAUGGAAAAGGCACGCUAGGAGGGGAACAAAUAAUAUGUAUAGACGGACAUUCUCUCACUGAAGCACACUACACAGUUCUACAGAAUUCCGCCUUGGUGGCUCCGUAUAUGGAUGAACACAAGAAUUCGCUACGCUCCAAACACCCGGAGCGGUCUGAUAACUAG
RNAcentral lists this ribosomal RNA (843 nucleotides) under Triticum aestivum (bread wheat). RNAcentral describes it as "partial small subunit ribosomal RNA". Lineage: Eukaryota; Viridiplantae; Streptophyta; Magnoliopsida; Poales; Poaceae. The record is from RNAcentral.